AUUUCUUGGGCUGCUCCCACGGCAUAUGGAGGUUCCCAGGCUAGGAGUCAACCAGAGCUGUAGCCACCAGCCUACGUCACAGUCACAGCAACACGGGCUCUGAGUUGCAUCUGUGACUUACACCACAGCUCAUGGCAAUGCUGGAUCCUUAACCCACUGAGCAAGGCCUUGGAUUGAACCCGCAACCUCAUGGUUCCUGGUUGGAUUCGUUAACCACUGAGCCAUGAUGGGAACUCUGGAGUGAUAGCUUUCACAUUACUGGGAGAUGAACAGUAUCAACUUCAAUUCUAUACCCAGGUUAUUAUCCUCCAACAAGGAGCACAGAGUAUACAGAAAUAUAAAGACAAGUAACAUUGUACAAACUAUGUGUGCUUACUAAAAGUACUGUAAAAGUUAUAUUUGCAGGAAGCAAAUAAAUACAGACAAAAAGAAUCAAAUGUGCAUAUAUGACCUAGAUAAUAGUGAACAAGAAAUUAAUUAAAAACAUAUUACCACAUUUAAUUAAGAAAUUUAUUGCUGCACCUGGAGCAUAUGGAAGUUCCUGGGCCAGGGGUUGAGCUGCAGCUGAGACCUACGCUGGUUCCUUUAACCUGCUGCAUGGCAGGAUUGAAACUGCACCUGCUCAGUGACCAGAGCCAUUGCUAUUGGGUUCAUAACCCACUGUGCCACAGUGGGAACUCCUAAUUAAUUUUAACAUAUGUAUAUUUAAACUUUCUUUUUUAAAUGUAUAUGUAUUUUUUCUUUUUAAAAAUAGAUCAUCAUCUGAGGAGAGUGAGCAGGAGAAAUUCAGGCUCAGUCAAGAAAUAAAUAAACAACACAAAGAAUGACAAAAGUAGACACAACUUUAACAAAGAGAAAUUUAAAGUAAAUACCACACACUGAUACUGAUUUACACGGUACCAAAAAUUGGAAAACAGAGACUAAACAGACUAUUAUCCAGAAAAACACCUUAACCAAAAUUGUCUCAGGAAAAUCUGUUUUAUGGAGCAAACCGUAAUUUGAAAAGAUACAUGUAUCCCAUUGUUCACUGCAGCACUAUUCCCAAAAGCCAAGACAUGGGAGGAACCUAAGUAUUCAUUAGCAAAGGACUGGAGAAGGAAGAUGUGGAGAAGAGGCCACCACUCAGCCACAGAAAAGCAUGAAGAAGUGCCACUGGCAGCAGCGUGGAUGGCUCUGGAGGUUAUCAUGCCAACCAAAGUAGUCAGAGAAAGACAAAUAUCAUAUAGUAUCACUUACACGUAGAAUCUAAAAAAAGAUACAAAUGAAAUUGUUUACAAAACAGAAGUGAACUCACAGACAUGGAGAGUAAACUUACGGUUACCAAUGGGAAAAGAGAGAGAAGGAAUAAAUUGAGAAUUUGGGAUUCACACACACACACACACACACUACUGUACAUAAAAUAGAUAAACACGCUCCUACUGUAUAGCCCAGGGAACUAUACUCAGUAUCGUGUAUGAACCUAUAAUAGAAAAGACCCUGAAUCUCUUUGCUGUGCUUCUGAAAGUAACACAACAUUGUAAAUCAACUACACUGCAAUUAAAAAAGAAAAUUUUUCUUUUAAAAAACUUAAACCAAUAACAUUUAAAGGAAACACGUUUAUUCUGUCCUUCAAAUGACAAGAGUUGACUUUUUUUAACACACAACUUCUAACAAAUCAUCAUGACAAACUAUUCCAAGAACAUAGCAAAAUAAAAUUAUGCAACUUAUUUUAUGAGGCAAAUAUAGAUUUCCUCAUAAAACACUAAAUCUACACAAGGAAAAUAAAAAUCUAGAACAAUUUUACCCUUGAACAUAUUUUUUAAGAAAUCCCACCAAAAAAUAGUGACUACAGCAGUAUUUAAAGAAAAUAGAGCAUGAACAGGUGGGAUUUAUCACAGGAAUGCAAUAUUGUCUAUUACUGCAAUUGCUCAUAUUAAUAAGGUAAAUGAAAGAAACAGCAUUAUAUAUGGCACCACAAAUGCAGAAAAAGCAGUCAAAAUCCUUGUGGACACUGGUGACAAUAAUUUUUAUUAGCAAACUAGAUAGGAGGUUUUUUUUUUUUAACUGUAAAAAUAUCUGUUGAGAUGGGAUUAAGAUUGCAGAACAGAAGACUGGAGCUCAGCUUCUCUCAUAAAAACAACAAAAUUACAACCAAAUGCUGAACAACCUUCAACCAGAUAGACUGGAGACUUUCAAAACAGAUAUCCUACUCUAGAAGACAAAGAGGAGGUCACGUCAAGGUGGCAGGAGGGGUGGUUACGUGAUAUAAGCAACCCCAUCCAUACCCGCCGGGUGGGCAGCCCACAGACUGGAGAGUAACUAUGACAGAGACUCACCUACAGGAGUGAGAGUUCUGAGCCCCACAUCAGGCCCCAAUGCCUGGGGACCUGGCACUGGGAGAAAGAGCCCACCAGAGCGUCUGGCAUCGAUGGCCAGUGGGGCUUGUGCGCAGGAGAUCCAGGGGACUGAGGGAAGCGGAGACCCCAUUUUUGAAAGGAGCACACAGACCUUCAUGUACACUGGGUCCCAGGGCAAAGCAGAGACUCCCUAGGAAUCUGGGUUGGACCUGACUGCAGUUCUUGGAGAAUCUCCUGGGAAAACAGGGGUGAAUGUGGCUCAUUGUGGGGGAAGGACAUUGGAAGCAAAUCUCUUGGGAAUCUUUAGCACCAUGCCUUUCUCUGGAGGUGGCCUGUUUUUUGGGAAAAUCUGGUCCCACCCAUUGGUGCUGAGAAGCCCCAGGCCAAACAACAAUCCAGGUGGGAUCACAGCCCUACCCAUCAGUAAACAGGCUGCCUAAAGACCCCCCAGGCACACAGCCAACCUUUAUUCUCACCCAGAGACAAAGCCCCACCCACCAGAGGGAUAGGAAUCAGCCCCACCUACCAAUGGGUAGGCACCAGUCCCUCCCAUCUGGAAGCCUACAGCAAGCCCCCAUACCAACUUCAGCCACAAGGGGGGCAGACACCAGAAGAAAGAGAGAGUACAACUCUAUAGUCUGCAAAAAGGAGAACACACCAAAAACCUAUAAAAAUGAAAAGGCCAAGAGCUAUAACUCAGGUAAGGGAGAAAGAAAACCCAGAAAAACAGCUAGGUGAUCUGGAGAUUAUCAGCCUCAAGGAAAAAGACUUUAGACUGAUGAUGCUGAAGAUGAUGUAAGACACUGGAAAUAAACUGGAGGCAAAGAUGGGUAACUUACAGGAAACACUGAGCAAAGAGAUAGAAGAUACAAAACUUAAGUAAGGAGAGAUGCAAAAUACAGUAACUGAAAUAAAAAAUUCAUUAGAAGCAGCCAACAGCAGAAUAUAGGAGGCAGAAUGAAUAAGUGAGGUGGAGGACAGACUAGUGGAAAUCACGGAUGCAGAACAGAAAAGAAAAAAAGAUUGAAAACAAAUGAAGACAGUCUCAGAGAACUCUGGGACAACGUUAAACACACCAACAUCCAUAUUAUAGCGGUGCCAGAAGGAGGAGAGAGAGAGAAGGGGACAGAAAAAAUAUUCAAAGAGAUAAUAGUCGAAAAUUUCUCUAACAUGGGAAAGGAACCACUCACUCAAAUCCAGGAAGCACAACGAGUACCAUAUAAUAUAAACCCAAGGAGGAGCACCCCGAGACACGUAUUAAUCAAACUGACCAAAAUUAAAGGCAAAGAGAAAAUAUUGAAAGCAGCUAGGGAAAAGAAACAUAACAUAUAAGGGAGCCCCGAUGAGGUUAUUGGCAGAUUUUCAGCAGAAACUCUGCAGGGCAGAAGGGAGUGGCAUGAUAUACUUAAGGUGAUGAAAGGAAAAAACCUCCAACCAAGAUUACUUUACCCAGCAAGGCGCUCAUAUAUAUAUAUAUAUAUAUAUAUAUAUAUAUACACACACACACACACACACUCCUACAUCAAAACUUCAGGGAAACUGCAAACCAAACCUACAACUGAUACACAAAUACGAAAGAUUAACUCAAAUACAACACUAAAGACAGUCAUCAAACCACAAGAGGAAAGAACAAGAAGGGAAGAAAAAAGAGCAACAAAACCAAAUCUGAAACAGUUGAUAAAAUGGCAAGAAGAACAUACACAUCAAGAAUUACUUUGCACUGCAAAUGGACUAAAUGGCCCAACCAAAAGACAUAGACAGGCUGAAUGGAUACAAAAACAAGAUUCAUAUACAUGCUGUCUUCAAGAGACACAUUUCACUUCUGGGGACACAUACGAAUUGAAAGAGGAUGGAAGAAAAUAUUCCAUGCAAACAGGAAUCAAAAGAAAGCUGCAGUAGCAAUACUCAUAUCAGAUAAAACAGACCUUAAAAUGAAGAAUAUUUUAAGAGCCAUGGAAGGACAUUACAUAAUGAUAAAGAAUCAAUCGAAGAAGAAGAUAUAACAAUUUUAAAUAUCUAUGCACCCAACAUAGUUGCACAAUAUAUAAGGCAACUGCUAACAACCCUAAAAGGAUAAAGUGACAAUAACACAGCAAUAGUGGGGGACUUUGACUCCCCACUUACAGCAAUGGACAGAUCAUCCAGACAGAAAAUCAACAAAGAAACACGGGCCUAAAUCAAGCACUAGACCAGAUGGACCUAAUAGAUAUUUAUAGAACAUUCCAUCCAAAAGCAGCAGAAUACCGAUUCUUCUGAAGUGCACACGGACCAUCUCUAGGACUGAUCACAUUCUGGGCCACAAAUCAAGUCUUGGCAACUUUAAGAAAACAAAUCAUAUCAAGCAUCUUUUCUGACCACAACACUAUAGAAGAUAUCAACAACAAAAACUGCAAAAACCAUAAACACAUGGAAACUAAACAGCAUGCUACUAAACAACCAAUGGAUCACUAAAGAAAUCAAAGAGGAAAUUAAAAAAAAAUACAUAGAAGCAAAUGACAACAAAGAUACAACACUCCAAAACCUAUGCAAUGUAGCAAAAGCAGUUCCAAGAGGGACAUUUAUAGCAAUAUGAGCCCACCUCAGGAAAUAAGGAAAAACUCAAAUAAACAAUCUAACUUUACAUCUAAAGCAGCUAGAGAGACAAGACCUAAAGUUAGCAGAAGGAAAGAAAUUAUAAAGAUUGGAACAGAAAUAAAUGAAAUAGAAAUGAAGAAAACCAUAGAAGAUACCAAUGAAACUAAAGGCUGGUUCUUUGAAAAGAUCAACAAAGUUGAUAAACCCUUAGCCAGACUUAUCAAGAAAAAAAGAGAGGACUCAAAUCAAUCAAAUUAGGAAUGAAAAAGAAGUUACAAGGACAUCACAGAAAUAAAGAGGAUCAUAAGAGACUACUAUAUGCAACUACUUGCCAGUAAAACAGAAAACCUAGAAGAAAUGGACAAAUUCUUAGAAAAGCACAAUCUUCCAAGACUAAACCAAGAUGAAAUAGAAAAGAUGAAUGGACCAAUCACAAGAACUGAAAUUGAAACUGUGAUUUAAAAACCUCUAACAAACAAAAGUGCAGGCCCAGAUUUCCAUCAAACAUUCAGAGAAGAGUUAACAUCCAUCCUUCUGAAACUAUUCCAAGAAACUGCAGAGGAAGGAAUACUCUCAAACUCAUUCCACGAGGCCACCAUCACCCAAUCAAAGAUAACCACAAAAAAAAAAAAUUAUGGGCUGAUAUCUCUGAUGAACAUAGAUGCAAAAAUCCUCAACAAUAUAAUAGCAAACCGAAUGCAACAACACAUUAAAAGGACUGUACAUCAGGAUCAAGUGGGAUUUAUCCCAGGGAUGCAAAGAUUCUUCAGUAUUUGCAAAUCAAUCAUUGUGAUACACCACAUUAACAACUGAAGACUAGAAACUAUAAGAUCCUCUCAACAGAUGCAGAAAAAGCCUUUGACAAAAUCCAACACCCCUUUCUGAUAAGAACCCUUUAGAAAGUGGGCAUAGAAGGAACCUACCUCAGCAUAACAAAAGCCAUAUAUGACAAACCCACAGCUAACAUAAUUCUCAAUGGUGAAAAGCUGAAAGAGUUCCCGAUGAGAAUAGGAACAAGACAGUGAUGCCCGCUCUUUCCUCUACCAUUCAGCAUAGUUUUGGAAGUCCUGGCCACGGCAAUCAGAAAAAAAAAAAAAAAAAAGGAAAGAAAAGGAAUCGAAACUGGAAAGGAAGAAGUAAAACUAUCACUACUUGCAGAUGACAUGAUACUAUACCUAGAAAAUCCAAAGAUGCUAGAGAAAACUGUUACAGCUCAUCAAUGAAUUUAGCAAAGUCGCAGGAUACAAAAUUAAUACACAGAAAUCAACUGCAUUCUAUAAACUAACAAUGAGAGGUCAGUUAGGGAAACAAUCCCACUUACUCUCACAUCAAAAAGAAUAAAAUACUUAGGAAUAAACCUACAUAAAGAGUCAAAAGACCUAUACUCUGAAAACUGUAAGAUGCUGAUGAAAGAAAUCAAAGAUGACACAAACAGAUGGAAAGACAUACAUACCAUGCUCUUGGAUUGGAAGAGUCAAUAUUAUCAAAAUGACUAUACUACCUAAGGCAAUCUACAGAUUCAGUGCAAUCCCUAUCAU
Molecule: long non-coding RNA, 6448 nt
Filed under: Sus scrofa (pig)
Lineage: Eukaryota; Metazoa; Chordata; Mammalia; Artiodactyla; Suidae
Description: lncRNA (ENSSSCG00015036373.1)
Source: RNAcentral